GACGAACGCUGGCGGUGUGCUUAACACAUGCAAGUCGAACGGAAAGGCACUGCUUUUGUGGGGUGCUCGAGUGGCGAACGGGUGAGUAACACGUGAGUAACCUGCCCUUGACUUUGGGAUAACUUCAGGAAACUGGGGCUAAUACCGGAUAGGAGCUCCUGCUGCAUGGUGGGGGUUGGAAAGUCUCGGCGGUUGGGGAUGGACUCGCGGCUUACCAGCUUGUUGGUGGGGUAGUGGCUUACCAAGGCUUUGACGGGUAGCCGGCUUGAGAGGGUGACCGGCCACAUUAGGACUGAGAUAGGGCCCAGACUCCUACAGGAGGCAGCAGUGGGGAAUAUUGCACAGUGGGCGGAAGCCUGAUGCAGCAACUCCGCGUGCGGGAUGACGGCCUUCGGGUUGUAAACCGCUUUCGCCUGUGACGAAGCGUGAGUGACGGUAAUGGGUAAAGAAGCACCGGCUAACUACGUG
Molecule: ribosomal RNA, 468 nt
Filed under: uncultured bacterium
Lineage: Bacteria
Description: partial 16S ribosomal RNA
Rfam family: Bacterial small subunit ribosomal RNA
Source: RNAcentral